UACGUAGGUGGCAAGCGUUGUCCGGAUUUACUGGGCGUAAAGAGCGCGCAGGCGGUCGGAUAAGUCGAAUGUGAAAGCCCCUGGCUCAACCAGGGAGGGUCAUUCGAUACUGUUCGACUCGAAGGCAGGAGAGGGAAGUGGAAUUCCGGGUGUAGUGGUGAAAUGCGUAGAUAUCCGGAGGAACACCAGUGGCGAAGGCGACUUUCUGGCCUGUUCUUGACGCUGAGGCGCGAAAGCUAGGGGAGCAAACAGG
This 253-nucleotide ribosomal RNA is filed under the name uncultured bacterium. RNAcentral's name for it is "partial 16S ribosomal RNA". It matches the Rfam family "Bacterial small subunit ribosomal RNA", at positions 524 to 776 of the family's 1533-position model. The record is from RNAcentral.